Molecule: long non-coding RNA, 8364 nt
Filed under: Daucus carota (carrot)
Lineage: Eukaryota; Viridiplantae; Streptophyta; Magnoliopsida; Apiales; Apiaceae
Description: long non-coding RNA (DCAR_LNC005116)
Source: RNAcentral
AAAAAUUAUCACAAGAUGAAAGUUAUGAACUGUUCAAGAAAAUAGCAUUUUCAGAUAGAGGAGUUCUAGAGACCGAGGCAUUCGCGACCUUGGGGAGAAGCAUGGUGAAGAGGUGUGGUGGCCUACCUCUGGCAAUAAAAGCAUUGGCGGGGGUGUUAUACUCGAAGAAGUGAAGAGGUGUGGUGGCCUACCUCUGGCAAUAAAAGCAUUGGCGGGGUUGUUAUACUCGAAGAAGUCUGAGCAAGAAUGGUUGGAGAUCCAAAGCAGUGAAACAUGGCAAUCAAAAAGAGUAUUGCCUUCCUUGAAGUUAUCAUAUGACAAUUUACCUUCUUUGUCAAUUAAACAAUGUUUUGCAUAUUGCUCUAUUAUGCCAAAGGAUUCAGUCAUUUAUAAGGAUGAACUGAUACAGAUAUGGAUGGCAUUAGGGUUCCUCCAGCCCCCAAGAAGUACUGCACUGAUGGAAGAUAUUGGCAGCGAUUACUUCGAAAUUCUGUUGGGGAAUUCUUUGUUACAAGACGAAAAAAAGGAUGACAUUGGGAACAUCAUCAGUUGCAAGAUGCAUGAUCUAGUGCAUGAUCUUGCACUAGAAGUAUCUGAACAUCAUGCAGUAACUGUGAAGGCAGGUAAAGAGCUGAGUCAUGAUUGCAAGGCUGUAUACGUGAGGCUUGAUAACGGGGUUUCAAAUAUCAAACCAACGAUUCUGAAGCGUGCCUUUGAGAGAGUACAAGUAUUAUAUGCUGGGGCAGAUGUCAUUCUUCAUGUGUUACCUUAUCUCACCCACCUGACUGUUCUGGUGUUAAAUGUGGAUUAUAGUUGGGAUGCCCGGAAGUUGCCAUUUUCGCUACGCAAGAUGAAAUAUCUUAAACAUCUUGAUAUUUCACGCUGCGACUUUAGAUUGCCCACUGACAUCACAGAAUUGUACAACUUGCAGACACUGAGAGUUGGAAACCUAAAUCAGCUUCCUACAAGGUUUAGCAACUUGAUCAAUCUGAGACAUUUGUGCAUUAAAAAUAUUAGCUCUUAUGGUGAAAGACACGUGCUUAAUGGGAUAAGAAGGUUGACAAGUCUGCAAACGCUUUCUUACUUUGUUGUGAGUAAAGAUCAAAACUGUCUCGUUGGACAACUGGGAGGGUUGAAACAUCUUAGGGGUGAGGUUGGACUCCAUGGCCUUGACGAGGUGAAAAAUAUUGAAGAAGCAAGAAAAGCAAAGCUUUGUGAGAAGUCCAGUAUUCUGUGUUUAGAGUUGAACUGGGGUUCCAGCGGUGAGGAUAGUGGCAAUGAAGAAGAAGUAAAAGAUAAAGAAUAUAACGACCAGGAUGUGAUGGAAGGAUUGGAACCUCACCCAAAUCUGAAAAAGUUAAAGAUUGUCGGUUUUAGAGGAAAGAAGUUUGCAUCUUGGAUUACAAUGAUGCUGAACUUGGUGAAAAUCACAUUCAGAAACUGCAACCGAUGCGAAGUACUUCCACCACUUAGUCACCUUCCCAAAUUGAGGAAGAUAUUGAUUGAUGGGAUGGCAAAUGUUAGGGUUGUGGGAGAUGAUUUUUGUAGUGGCCAAAGUGUAUUUCCUCAACUUGAGGAGUUGGAGAUUAGGGAUUGUCCAAAGUUGAGAAAGAUACUGCCUGUUUGUUUUCCGUCAUUGAAACAAGUCACCUUUGUCGAACUGCCAAAUCUAGAAGAAUGGGAAGCAGCAGUUAUAAGUACAGGGGCUAGUUCUCAAAGUGAAUUUCCUAAACUUGAGAGUUUGGAAUUUUGGAGAUGUCCAAGGUUGAGAAAGAUCCCGAAUAGUUCUUUUCCUUCCUUAAAGCAAUUGCAAAUUACUCAUUUGAAGAGUGAUAUGAUAUUGGGAAAUAUGAGCAGGAAUGUUAGCUUACUAACCUCUCUACGUCUUACAAGUAUCGGUGACGGACGAGGAUACUCAUCUUCUUUAUCUUCGUUUUCGAACAUGGAAUCCCUGAUUAACAAUUCUCUGUCUUUGACCAAAUUAGAGCUAAUUGAUUGCAAGGGAUUAAAUUGUCUGACUCUUGGUAGCUCCCUUGAAUACUUAGAGAUCCAUGAUUGCCCGCAUCUAACUAGUAUAUUUUUAGUUGAAGGGUCAGCUGCUCUUAAUUAUAUUGGGAUUGCGAAACUCCCCCCCUCUCUUCUAGAUGGGGGAUUUCCCCAAAUUCAUAGUUGCAGGCUUGAAUAUCUGAGAUUAGGUCCCUUCUCAGAUGAUUGGGAUUAUAUGCCAUGGCCAAUAUCAUCUUCUUCUUCUUCUAACCUAAUUAAGCUAGACCUGUAUGGGUGGGAAAAGGUUAAGUCAUUAGUGCCCUUUGAGCAACCCCUGUUCACCGGCUACCCUGCCUUGACUACCAUGAGUUUAUAUAAUUUCGAAGGAAUGAAAGCUCUUCCGGAUUCAAUAGCAAAACUCCCAUCUAUCAAGGAAUUAAGAAUCUGGGAUUGUCAUAAUUUGGAGAGUUUGCCCACGUUUGAAGAAUCACAUACCCUUCAAACACUGAGUAUAUGUGAGUGUCCUGUUCUGAAACAAAGAUGCAGGAAGGAUCAAGGGCCAGAAUGGUUCAAAAUUCAAUACGUUCCAAAUGUAAAAUGGUAAGCUUUGCAUGUCAAAUUUAUCUCUUCUCCCUCUCAGUUAAUCUGUUUGUACUAUUUAAUUGAUAUAUCUGAUUUUGUUAAAUCAGGGAUCAUACAAGGAGUCAGGGAAGUUUUUUAACUUUUUAGCUUGGUGAUUGUCUCUACUCCAUCUUCCCUUCCUUGACUGAUUUGUAUGAGUAAAUUCAAAGAAGAGAAAGCUCUCCCGAGUUCAAUAGCAGACCUUCUAUCGCUCAAGCAGUUACUUAUCUGAAAUUCUGAGAAUUUGGAGAGUUUGCCCAUGUUUGAGAACAACGGUAAUUUUCCAAAUCUGAAAGAAUGAUACACGGAAGAGAGAUGGUCCAAGAUUCAACAUAUUCCAGAUGUAACUUAUGUAAAUUGGCAUAUCUGAAUGAUCACCUCACCCUCUGUUUGUCACUAUUUAAUGAUAUAUUUUAAUUUGUUGAAUCAGGAUUUAGAUAUUGCAGUAUCUCCAUCUUGUCAUUAUUUUCCAUGUUCAUUUUCCAAAAAUUAUACUCCUAAAUCAGAUAAGAUAUAGCGCAUCUUGGUGAGUUGCUUGUUGUAAUAGUAACUGAAAUAGUGAUUAUGAAUGUUACUUUUCAGUAUCAGAAUAGUGCAUCAUGGAUAAUAUUUUAUAUGAUUUCUUUUUAUACAUCAAUAUUUCUAUGUUUUUUUUUUUGGUUCAAUGAUCUAAUAACUGCAUGGUGCAGCUCUUCAAGGUGUUUUGGGACUGAGAUAAAUGAUGCAGAAGCCAAGCCUCUUCUCUUGUGUUCGUCCAAUGAAAUAUGAAUAAUCAAGUGCAGUAAUGUCAUUAUAAUUGUCUACUCCUUUGUCAAGAAUGCCCUGUAGGAAUAAAAAACAGAGCUCACUGAGCUCAGUAAGAGAAUCCAAGUGUUGGCAUACAAUGAGAUCGGGUAAUUAGGGCUAAUUCAUUGUUGUACUAUACCGAAAGUUUCAAUUGAGUAACUAGACUAAAAAAAGUUACAAUUGUAUCAUAAAAUUGCAGUAACUUUCAAUAACUCAAAAUUACUUGCACUAUCGUUAAAAUGCGUUGACUAUUAACAAAGAUCCAUUCAACAAUGUUACAUUAAAUCUAGUUCAUAUAUCAUAACAAUAAAUCUAUAAAUAGAUAGUUUCUCCUCCCAUUUUUCAUGGCUUAUUACUACCACUAUCCUUCAUCACCGUUUUAAUUACAUAUCAUGCUAUUGAUUUCAUUAAAUCUGCAUCCACGUGCAAAGUAACACCGGAUAGUACAGCAGCAGUUAAUAACAAGUUUCAACUGCCGGGUAACAUAAGCUACUACUGGAUACUGCAUAUAUUCUCAUACACAGCACUGAUAUGUACUUCCUAUCUCACAAAUUCUCCUUUUCAAUUUGAAUUUAAAUUCUGGAAAAAGGUUUUCUCUCUUCAUUCAUACAAGCAGAUACAUAUAUUCUUUAGUCUUCCCUCUCCCAAUCGAUGGAUGAGUUAGUUUACACAGCGUCUGUAUAUAACUAUUUUGUCCUGCAUGAUUGUUCUAUGAAUUAGUUUAAUUUUAACAAUUUCUCUUUUUCUGAAUUAGUUGUAGCAGUUCGAAGAGGGUUAUCCAGUAUCUGCUGUUGCUGGUUCUACAAACAAACAUGGAAAGGGUGAUGGAGUUCUUUGAACCUGGUAUGUUCUUGAUCGACCUCUGCUUCUUCUUUUUUCCGUACUCUUUGCCGUCUUCCAACUGUUGUUAUAAUUUCAAUGUGCAUUCUUCUUUUAUCGUGCUUAGGAAAAUCGCCUAGGACGCUUUUCAGUGAUGUUCCAAACUUAACAAACUAUUCGAGUUACAGUUCUUUGUCGCCUAGGACCUUCAUAUUUGUUAUGGAUAUUGUUCUUGGGUAAAUUUAUGGUUACGGAGGAUUUUGUAUCACGCUUUUUAAGUGUUUGACAAAAUUCUUGGGUAACAUCUAAAAUAAAAGCUAUUAUUUAUUUAUAAAUAAUUUUCACUUAUAAACAAUAAAUGCUUCUUUAAGUUAAGCCUCGAGUUAUAGAUUCGGGAAAUGAUGAUCUUGGAAAAGAAUUUUAGCCUAUGUAGUUGAGAACAAAGUUCAUGUGUUAGUUUAAAAAAAUAGUAUUUGCUUAUGUUGUAUAAAAAUGUACGGUACAUAUCACCUUAAUGAUCUUAUAAUAUUUUUCUAAAAAAUAUAGAUAUAAUAUAAAAUAUUAUUUUAUUAUAUUAACUUUACUUUAUUUGACUAAAAUCAUCAUAUAAAGUAAAACUCCCAAAAUCUUCUCACUUAUAACAUGAAUUUUGAUAACCAUUAGAGGCCGUUUGGAAACAUGGAUUUAAUUUCAAAUGAUGAAUUUCAAAUUAUAGGAUUUGAAUUGUCAUUUUAAAUUCUUAAAUUUAUACUAAUAUUUGAAUGUUUGGAUUUCAAAUGAACUCAACACUAAGCAGACCCCAGAAAAACUCCAUAGAGAUACUCAUACCUCCAAGUACUACAUAUAGAUAUACAUAAUUUCAAUUUUAAGACCUGUUUGUUUGCUUAUAGUCCUAUAUGCAAUCUGUAUUAAUUUUGUUAAGUCAAACAAUUAGUCUCCACCGGCAAGCAUUCUAAGAAAGACAAGGAAGUUGUAAAACAUCUAUAUCAGCACACAAAAUGUGGUAACCUGUCACAGCAAAUAACUCAAAAAAAAGGAUUACAAAAAUGCCAGAUGUGGAAAUGGAGAAACUCAACAUGAACGGGAGAGUUUUAUCAGGUUUUUGAAAAACUUGUAUAUAUAUGAUGUUUACUAAAUUUUCUGCUAAUCUAUUUCAUGAAAUUUAUGAGACUUGGCAGUAACAAGUAACAACUGUAUUAUGACUGGGAAGAAUGACAUACACAUCAAAAAGCAUAAUCUGACAAUAAUGUGCGUUCCUUCCAUUCAUCCCAUACAGACACGAAGUUGCAUUAUUUACCAGGCCAAUACUGUGCUUGAUGGAUAUAGAAUAAUAACUGGAUCAUUACUUUAAACAUUAUCUCUUUCUUGUUACUGAUUAACAUGUUCGUUUAAUAAAUCAUAGUCUUUCAUAUUUUUGAAUUGCGGUUGAAGUUUACUAUCAAUGUUCUUCCUAUGUAUGUUCACAGUUUACGAUUGUGUUGUUUUACCUAGAGUGUGAGAUUUCUUAAUGUGAUCAUAUAUGCGUGAAGAUAUUCUUCUUUUUUAAUAUACUGAUAAAUUACAGUCACAUCAAAUAUCUGGAAAUCGCAGAGAGUAGAGAGUUUGUUUUAUAUAUUUAAUCCUCGAGUCUGUUUUUUCUGUAAUAGGACCAAACUCUGGGAUCGACAAACGUAUUGGGGUUUCAGAUUAUAAGAUUGUUUCAAGAAACUGAGAAAAUGACAUAAUGAAUAUAUCAUAAAUAACAUAGCACAUUGUAGCGACCGCUUGUGAUCGUCCUAUUUGUUUGAUGAAAAUAAUUCAUUUCUAGAGAAUGGUGUACUUGUUGCGUAAAAAUUACUGGGUUACUAAAUUCCCGCUUUUCUGUCAUUUUUACACGACAUCUUUUUAUUCAUUCAUAUCUUUGUGUUUUCAAGUUCAGUGACCAAAUAAUCUCGUGGUGCAACUCUUGGAAGUUGGAACUAUAGGAUAAGCGAUGCAGAAGUCAUGCUUACGGAUAGCCGGUAUGUUCUAAUAGAAAUGCAUAUACUUUUGAACUGUUCAUGGAGCAUACCAAGAGAAGUAGUUAGCAUGUAUUCACUAUUUAAUUUGGCAUUUUCUCUUAAUUUAUUGAAUCCAUGUGCUGGUCUCAGUUAUAACGUGUUUGCCAGUCCUGAUCAUAUGUUUGCAGUUUGCUCCAACCAAUCCAUUAAUUAAUCCGGCAAAGUCUCUGGAGUAAACACAUGAAUGAAUAGAUAUAUAAAUAAAGUCAAACAAAUUAAUCAAAAUUCACAUAGCAUCAACUAGCCAAUAUUAAAAUGAAAAAAAAUAAGGGUUCAUUCAGCAACUAAUCUAUAGUACCACUUGAUUCAGAAACUGUUAUAGCCCAUAUUACAUUUUUAUCAUCUCACCAAAUAUAUCUCAAGAAUUAUACCAGUCAAUACAAGAAAAGAUGGGCGAGGCUAUUGUUGCUGAUUUGGCUGGCGGAUUGCUCGGCAAGAUUGUUUCACUUGCAGCCGAAGAAGUUGUCCAGGCCUGGAAUUUUCAUGAAGAUCUCGACACACUCCACCAGCGCCUGGAAUUUAUUGAUUUCUUGCGAGUGAGGUGUCGAUAUAUAUGAAUCGAGGGAUUUUGAUUCCGAUAAUUGGUUAGGGAUUUGAUCGAAAAAUUGAAUAAAAAUUAGGAUUUCAUGUAAAUGACUGAGGGAGAGAACCCAAGAUUGGCUCUGCAAAGAAAAUCUAGAUAGGAUGGGAUAUGGAUAAGACAAUUAUUAGGUUGACUGGUUGAGUGGUGGAAAACAAAGAAUGAUCAGCCAAUAUUAAAAUGCAAAACAAAGGUUGAUGUAGCAAUUUGCCACUUGAUUUAGAAACUGUUAUAGCCCAAAUUACAUUUUUAUCAUCUCACCAAAUAUAUCUCAAGAAUUAUACCAGUGAUCAAUACAAGAAAAGAUGGGCGAGGCUAUUGUUGCUGAUUUGGCUAGCGGAUUGCUGGGCAAGCUUGUUUCACUAGCAGCAGAGGAAGUUGUCCAGGCCUGGAAUUUUCAUGAAGAUCUCGACACACUCCACCAGCGCAUGGAAUCAGUCGGGGCUCUCUUGUACGAUGCUCAUACCAAGAAUUUAAUCAUGUCUACUGCCAAAAUCUGGUUUGACAAACUUGAAGCUGUUGCGAAUGUUGCUAAUGUUUUUAUGGAUGAACUUGCAUAUGAAGUCACUCGAAGAAAAGUGGAGAAUGGCCAUAAGUCAUCAGACUUCUUCAUUCCUUCCAAAAAUACUUUACUAUAUCGUCUCAAGGUGGCUCGUAAAAUCAAGUCCAUUCAAGCUUCCUUUGAUAAAAUUUUCAAAAUGGCAGUAGAUCUGGGACUACAGCCUGUGGCUUAUUUAGGGUCAACGGUGCAAGAUAGAGACAUCCGCAGCACCCCUUCCUCUGAAGACAAGUCAAUAAUAGUUGGAAGAGAUAAAGAUGUAUCGUACCUAGUUCAAACAGUGUGCAAAACACAUGAAGAGGAUUUACAAGUCCUUGUUGUAGCGGGAAUGGGAGGUCAAGGCAAGACAACUCUUGCUCGUAUGGUGUUCAACAGUAAUGAUACCAUUCAUAAUUUCCCAGAGAGGAUGUGGGUCACUGUAUCAGAUGAUUUUUAUUACAUCAAGAUUUUAAAUGAAAUGAUAGAAUCACUUACCUCAACGAACUUGGGAUUGAAAAAUCCCCAAGGACUGACCAAUGAGCUUCAAAAAAGUCUAAAGGGGAAAAGGUUCCUACUCGUACUAGAUGAUGUCUGGAAUGAAGAAUCGGUGAAGUGGGAUAACCUGAGAAAUUCUUUGCUUGAAAUUGGUGGUGACAAAGGAAGCUGUAUUCUGGUUACCACCCGUAAACAGGAAGUCAUUGAUGCCAUGAGAACUUCUGUAUUUUAUUGGCUGGGAAAAUUGUCAGAGGAUGAAAGUUAUGAACUGUUCAAGAAAAUAGCAUAUUCAGAUGGAGGAGUUUUAGAGACCGAGGCAUUGGCGACCUUGGGGAGAAGCAUGGUGAAAAGGUGUGGUGGCCUACCUCUGGCAAUAAAAGCAUUGGCGGGGUUGUUAUACUCGAAGAGGUCUGAGCAAGAAUGGUUGGAGAUCCAAAGCAGUGAAACAUGGCAAUCAAAAAGUGUAUUGCCUUCCUUGAAAUUAUCAUAUGAUAAUUUAC